This 378-nucleotide unclassified non-coding RNA is filed under the name uncultured fungus. RNAcentral's name for it is "partial contains small subunit ribosomal RNA, internal transcribed spacer 1, and 5.8S ribosomal RNA". The stretch from base 1 to 73 matches the Rfam family "Eukaryotic small subunit ribosomal RNA", at positions 1759 to 1831 of the family's 1831-position model. The record is from RNAcentral. Lineage: Eukaryota; Fungi.
CCAAACUUGGUCAUUUAGAGGAAGUAAAAGUCGUAACAAGGUUUCCGUAGGUGAACCUGCGGAAGGAUCAUUACAGAACGCCGAAGGUCCCCGUGGCCUUCGGACCGCACCGCUGUCCCGUCUCCCCCGGACCCUCUCGGGGAAGGGGGCGGAUCGGGUCACCGUGUCAACCCCCUUGUGAAACUUUGAAAUUUGCUUCGGCAGCACCUCAGGCGUAUAAAUUCCUGUCCGAGGAUAAGGCUGUCGGAAGCUUCUUAUGCAAAACCUGUUUAUGAAAUGUCAUGCUGUCUUAGGGAAGAAAAACUGUUUGAGAAAUCAAAUAUCAUUAAAACUUUCAGCAACGGAUCUCUUGGUUCCCGCAUCGAUGAAGAACGCAGC